Molecule: small RNA, 29 nt
Filed under: Bombyx mori (domestic silkworm)
Lineage: Eukaryota; Metazoa; Arthropoda; Insecta; Lepidoptera; Bombycidae
Description: ovarian small RNA-22837
Source: RNAcentral
UAGUAAAUUAUUUGACGGCACAUGCCGUU